UCUCACCUAACUUCCUCAUCUUCUCCAACAUUAAAUCAAUUCCAAGUUACCCACCACAAGAGUUUAACAAUUCCACCAUUACUACUGACUGUCCCUAAAGCAAGUGGCAAAAAAUUUAGUGAUUAGUAUCCGAGACACAAGUUCGAAUCCUAGCUGAUUCACAUUUCUAGUUAAGUUUAUUUCUAAAUGAAAUAAACGAAGUGGAUAACGUGCUACCUAUCUUUAAAAAAAAAAACAAAAAAAAAAUUAAUUUUACCACUAAAUUCAGUUCAUAUAUAUCAGUAAAUCC
RNAcentral lists this long non-coding RNA (289 nucleotides) under Ananas comosus (pineapple). RNAcentral describes it as "long non-coding RNA (ACOM_LNC014187)". Lineage: Eukaryota; Viridiplantae; Streptophyta; Magnoliopsida; Poales; Bromeliaceae. The record is from RNAcentral.